CCUACGGGGGGCAGCAGUGAGGAAUAUUGGUCAAUGGACGAGAGUCUGAACCAGCCAAGUAGCGUGAAGGAUGACUGCCCUAUGGGUUGUAAACUUCUUUUAUAUGGGAAUAAAAUGUUCCACGUGUGGGAUUUUGUAUGUACCAUAUGAAUAAGGCUCGGCUAACUCCGUGCCAGCAGCCGCGGUAAUACGGAGGAUCCGAGCGUUAUCCGGAUUUAUUGGGUUUAAAGGGAGCGUAGGUGGAUUGGUAAGUCAGUUGUGAAAGUUUGCGGCUCAACCGUAAAACUGCAGUUGAAACUGGCAGUCUUGAGUACAGUAGAGGUGGGCGGAAUUCGUGGUGUAGCGGUGAAAUGCUUAGAUAUCACGAAGAACUCCGAUGGCGAAGGCAGUUCACUGGACUGCAACUGACACUGAGGCUCGAAAGUGUGGGUAUCAAACAGGAUUAGAUACCCCAGUAGUC
RNAcentral lists this ribosomal RNA (460 nucleotides) under uncultured bacterium. RNAcentral describes it as "partial 16S ribosomal RNA". It matches the Rfam family "Bacterial small subunit ribosomal RNA", at positions 338 to 795 of the family's 1533-position model. The record is from RNAcentral.